This 154-nucleotide ribosomal RNA is filed under the name uncultured bacterium. RNAcentral's name for it is "partial 16S ribosomal RNA". It matches the Rfam family "Bacterial small subunit ribosomal RNA", at positions 355 to 509 of the family's 1533-position model. The record is from RNAcentral.
UGAGGAAUAUUGGUCAAUGGGCGGGAGCCUGAACCAGCCAAGCCGCGUGAGGGAAUAAGGCCCUACGGGUCGUAAACCUCUUUUGUCGGGAACAAAGCGGGACGCGUCCCCGUCUGCGUGUACCCGAAGAAAAAGCAUCGGCUAACUCCGUGCC